This 371-nucleotide ribosomal RNA is filed under the name uncultured archaeon. RNAcentral's name for it is "bacterial SSU rRNA". It matches the Rfam family "Archaeal small subunit ribosomal RNA", at positions 967 to 1337 of the family's 1478-position model. The record is from RNAcentral.
CUUGCCGGACACGCCGAGAGGAGGUGCAUGGCCGCCGUCAGCUCGUACCGUGAGGCGUCCACUUAAGUGUGGUAACGAGCGAGACCCGUGCCCCCAGUUGCCAGUCCCUCCCGCUGGGAGGGAGGCACUCUGGGGGGACCGCCGGCGAUAAGCCGGAGGAAGGAGCGGGCGACGGUAGGUCAGUAUGCCCCGAAACCCCCGGGCUACACGCGCGCUACAAUGAGCGGGACAAUGGGAUCCGACCCCGAAAGGGGAAGGGAAUCCCCUAAACCCGCUCCCAGUUCGGAUCGCGGGCUGCAACUCGCCCGCGUGAAGCUGGAAUCCCUAGUACCCGCGUGUCAUCAUCGCGCGGCGAAUACGUCCCUGCUCCU